AGCUCAGUUGGUAGAGCAGUUGACUUUUAAUCAAUUGGUCGCAGGUUCGAAUC
RNAcentral lists this transfer RNA (53 nucleotides) under Escherichia coli. RNAcentral describes it as "tRNA-Lys". It matches the Rfam family "tRNA", at positions 9 to 59 of the family's 71-position model. Rfam says of the family: Transfer RNA (tRNA) molecules are approximately 80 nucleotides in length. Their secondary structure includes four short double-helical elements and three loops (D, anti-codon, and T loops). The record is from RNAcentral. Lineage: Bacteria; Pseudomonadati; Pseudomonadota; Gammaproteobacteria; Enterobacterales; Enterobacteriaceae.